GGGGAAUAUUGCGCAAUGGGGGAAACCCUGACGCAGCAACGCCGCGUGCGGGAUGACGGCCUUCGGGUUGUAAACCGCUUUCAGCAGGGAAGCACAUCGACGGUACCUGCAGAAGAAGCCCCGGCUAACUACGUGCCAGCAGCCGCGGUAAUACGUAGGGGGCGAGCGUUAUCCGGAUUCAUUGGGCGUAAAGCGCGCGUAGGCGGGUGCCUAAGCGGGACCUCUAACCUCGGGGCUCAACCCCGAGCCGGGUCCCGAACUGGGCGCCUCGAGUGCGGUAGGGGAGAUCGGAAUUCCCGGUGUAGCGGUGGAAUGCGCAGAUAUCGGGAAGAACACCGAUGGCGAAGGCAGAUCUCUGGGCCGACACUGACGCUGAGGCGCGAAAGCUAGGGGAGCGAACAGG
Molecule: ribosomal RNA, 403 nt
Filed under: uncultured bacterium
Lineage: Bacteria
Description: bacterial SSU rRNA
Rfam family: Bacterial small subunit ribosomal RNA
Source: RNAcentral